UUUUUAAUUAAAAACUAGAAUGAAAGGUUAUACAUUCAAAUUUCUUUAUUAAUUUUUAAUAAAUAAUUUAUAUUAAAUAUAAAAAUAUAUUUAUAAAAAAAAAAGACGACAAGACCCUAUUAAAUUUUACUUAUAGUUUAGCUGGGGAAGCUUUUCAAUUAAAAUUUUUUAAAUUAAAUAAAUAAAAAUCUAAUAAAAUUAAAAUUUUAAUAAAUUACUAUAGGGAUAACAGCAUUAUAUUUUUUAAAAGUUCAUAUUAAAAAAAAUGAUUGUGACCUCGAUGUUGAAUUAUAUUUUCUAUAUUAAAUGCAAUAAUUAUAAAAGUAGAUCUGUUCGAUCUUUAAAAUAUUACAUGAUUUGAGUUCAAACCGGUGUAAACCAGGUUGGUUUCUAUCUUUUUAUAUAUUUUUCCAGUACGAAAGGACAAAAAAAUUUUUAUUUUAAUAAAUUAGCAAAUAAAUGCAUUAGAUUUAGAAUCUAAAUAUAUUUAAUA
RNAcentral lists this ribosomal RNA (493 nucleotides) under Anelosimus baeza. RNAcentral's name for it is "partial 16S ribosomal RNA". The stretch from base 100 to 399 matches the Rfam family "Bacterial large subunit ribosomal RNA", at positions 2074 to 2646 of the family's 2925-position model. The record is from RNAcentral. Lineage: Eukaryota; Metazoa; Arthropoda; Arachnida; Araneae; Theridiidae.